AGAAAAAACUGGAAUCGUCUACAUAAUUAGGGGAAUGAAAUCAAUAUUGGAUAUCGGUGAAUACAGAGGCAAUUUUCCAAAAGGAGAAAGUGGAGAACCCACACCUAAUUUGAUCCUGGGCAAGACUCAAGAAAGGAUUAUUUAAGGCUGCACCGGGUCUUAGUUGUUGGAAGCAGGAUCUUCGUUGCUGCUUGCAGCAUGUGUGCGAGAUCUAGUUCCCGACCAGGGACUAACCUGGGCCGCCUGCAUUGGGAGCACGGAGUCUUACUCACUGGACCACCAGGGAAGUCCCUGUAUUUUAAGUUUAAAGGCUAUGUGUGUUUUUAUACUGUAAGUCAUCUCACAACCAAUUUUCAGGGUCAGCUUUGACUAAUGAAGGUAUUUGUGAAUGGAAAUAUUUAGGUUCCUGAAUAAAAGAACAGAAAUGUCACUGGCACAUACAAAAACACACAUGCUAUUACUGGAACUGGAAAAAAAAAAAGGCUGAAUAAACAGCAAAUGAUGAUAGCUUCACCAUCAGAAGUAAACACUGAUGUAGGACGUUAUUAUAAUACUCUUAAAGUAACAUUAUUUUAACAGCACAACAUUUCAGAGAAUAGUGGAACAUUUCUAGAUUUAGAAUAAAUAAUUUUAAAUUUGAAGCUAGACUAGAAUGGCUCAACAUUUAAGACAGAUAAUGAUCACUAUCUAGGAUGGAAAAUUAAAUAUAAGAUUAUUAAUUUGGUGGUUAGCAAAGUGAGAGAAGAAAAAAUAUGUAAAAAACCCCAAAUCUUUGUAUUAUCAACUUCAGCUAGGUUAUACAAAGUCAUGUUGAAUAAUUUUAUAUGCACGCAUAUUUGAACUACCAAAAAAAAAAGUGGAAAAUUAAGGAAUGUUCCAUU
This is a long non-coding RNA of Physeter macrocephalus (sperm whale), 881 nucleotides long. RefSeq lists it as uncharacterized. NCBI's taxonomy places the organism in Eukaryota, Metazoa, Chordata, Mammalia, Artiodactyla, Physeteridae. The transcript has 3 exons. The record is from RefSeq and is a predicted model, not a curated record.